CCAUUCGCGCAUAUAAUCUUGAAGGCAGAACUUCCGAUCUUAAAUCACUGGAUAGUUUAUGUGUGGAAGUAGCGGCAGCAAAACGCUUGAUCGCAUAUCUCCAUUUUUGAACAACCGAAGCGUUUGCUUUGAUAAUAUUUCCAGAAUGCUGGCCGCCGUCAUAAUGCUUGCAGCUUUAAUAACUUGUGCUACAGGCAAUGGACAAGACGACCCACCUACUGGCCCGGGCUGCGAGCAGCCAAAAGAUGGAAUUUACACGACGUGCACAAUGGUAUGUGGAGACCAAGUAUCAGCAUUAAGCGAGGGUCAACCGUGCUUCGUAAGUAUUCCCGCAUUGCG
This 339-nucleotide long non-coding RNA is filed under the name Dermacentor andersoni. Its description in RNAcentral is "uncharacterized LOC126545003". The record is from RNAcentral. Lineage: Eukaryota; Metazoa; Arthropoda; Arachnida; Ixodida; Ixodidae.